UUUUGUUUCAUUUUCAAAUAUCAUCAAGAAUUUUAGUUAGCAAACAAUGAAUUGAAAGUCAGAGUUCUAUUUUUUUUCUUUUAUCUUAGCAUAUGGGGAUGCACAAGGCUUUUUUUUUUUUUUUGAAUCUGACUUUUCAUCUCUGACAGAUGACAGGUCACAUCUUACUCAGCAGUGAUUUCAGUAAUUAAUCAUAUUAGUCCCUUAAAUAGUUGCACAAAAAUAAUAAUUUGAACACAUAUUCUGCCGGCAGGUACUGUGAAACUCUGCCUUUGGCCAUGGAUAUUUAUUUUCAGUUGUAUAACAAAACAGCUAUGUUUAUGCACUUGAGGCCCUCACAACAUUGGGUCGCCUGCAAUCCCCUCCUGCAUUGAACUCUGGAAUAGUUUACAUGGACUCUGAGGGCCAAUCAUCCUGAGGAUAUACAAGUAGUACCAGGUAACAGUUUUGUGUAAGGCCAGACACUUCUUCUAUAGUAUAGCUAUUUAUGGCUUGUUCAUACUCUAGGAUAUAACCUCACACUGGGUGAAUGUUUUGAAUACCAACUAAAUGCAUGAAGUCACCAAGCCAGAUUAGUGUAGAAUCCUUUAUGUCUUCUACCUUGGCCCCCUUCCUCAGGAGUAAUUAGAGACAGACGCCUAGGAAAUCCUCCUACAAUGCAAAACCACAUUAAGAUGGAGAAAUUUCAAUUUCAAGCCAACAUAAGCCACAUAAGAGUUCCAGGCUGGUCAGAGCUACGUGGUUUAAAACAAUCCACUUUAUUUUCAUUACCUGCUGCUGAUAACAAAUAUAGAGAUCCCCCAGUGAUUUUGUUUGAAGAGGUACAGAAAACAUUACAACAAGAUUAAAUAUAUUACAGUGAACUAUGUGCAGCACUAUAAGAAAAUAUCAAAAUACAUUCCAUAGAUGUGUUAAAUUUAAAAAUGAUAAAUAAAAGCAUUAAAACAAAAGGUAAGGGGGAGGAAUUUAUCAAGAGAAUUUUAAGAGCUUUUGUAGUAAUCUGAUGUCCACUCAUGAAUAGAACAGAAUUGGGAAGGCUGGUUUACUUCACUGGUAGUUUUUGUUACUGGUAUUAUGUGCUCUGGUGUAUCAGUCCUUGGGGAAAGUUUUAGUUCAAGUAAAUGUGUGUAGAGCCCAUUAGAGCAAACUUUGUAGGAAUCCUAGCAAAGGUGAAUAGGUGAAACUUCUAUCCUUAGCCUCCUGCCUUGAAUAACUCUGAGUGUAUCAACAUUGGUUCUCUUUUGAAAUGGACAAUGUUCUUAUUCUUGAUGAAAAAAUAAAAUACUGGUGUGUGUGUGUGUGUGUGUUUGUGUGUGUGUGUGUGUGUGUGUGUGUGUGUGUGUGUGUGUGUUUGUGUGUGUGUCCCAUAAAAGAUGCAUUGGUUUCCUAAGAUGAAUGUUUCCGUGUUCCGCAUGAUCACUAUUCUAGCAUAUUUGGUUGUCAAAGAGCUCCUUCCCCUGGUAUCACUUCCUCUGCUAUCAGUGUUCAGCACUGGCCCUGCUCAUUAUCUUGUUCUAAUGUCAGAGGCAGAUAACAAUCUUUCCCAAACAGCAGACAGACUUAUAGUGGCAGAAUUAAUUAAAAUUGAUUCACACAUUGUGUCAUGUAAAGGUCUUCUGAGAGCUUUCUUUGCUACAUCCCUCUCGGUUUCCUGGUGUUGUACUACAUGACCCAGGUGGGAAUCACUGCGUGCGAAUACUAAUUAGAAACCUGAAUAGAACUGUGUACACUGAGUGGCAGUGGAAUGCAUGAAGGGAAUUUAGAACUUACUUCAUUUAAGGAUUUCAUAAGGGAUUAAUUCUUUAUUCCGACUUCUUAAGAUUUUAUUCAGAGGAGGACA
RNAcentral lists this long non-coding RNA (1840 nucleotides) under Mus musculus (house mouse). Its description in RNAcentral is "long non-coding RNA chr15:20569526-20571366". The record is from RNAcentral. Lineage: Eukaryota; Metazoa; Chordata; Mammalia; Rodentia; Muridae.